AGCACUUGGGCAGGCUACAUCAUAUUUUGGUGCCUUUGCUUUCCUUACAGGUUAGCUCCUGUUUGUUAAAAUGCUGCUAAUGAGAUCAACAUCAUGAAGUUAAUUUCUAUAACCCUAUUCCAUAGCUGCAAACUACGAAGACAUCUUGAAAACAUGAAACGAUCAGAAGAGAGGUCAGAUAAGGUGCCUUAGCCCCUGGAUUUUGGAGCUGAACUCAAGUUCUUUGUCAAGCUAAGCUACAGAAGACGUUGCUCUCAGUCUCUCUCAGCUGGAAGGAGCAGGUGACAGUUGUGGUUCACAUCCCACCUCUGGGUGACUUUGCUGGCAGGGCAGGGCUCUCCUGGAUCUGCUGUGCAACAGGGUAGGAGGGGAAGUGGCUGCAACAAAAGAUUGUGGGUUCUGCUGACCUUCAUUUGGCUCAGUCACUAGAAGAACAAACAUGAUCAUCAAAUAGAUGCUCUUGACUGAUAUGUAUUGAGAAGAGUCUUGG
RNAcentral lists this long non-coding RNA (490 nucleotides) under Canis lupus familiaris (dog). Its description in RNAcentral is "lncRNA (ENSCAFG00805007011.1, ENSCAFG00845012102.1)". Lineage: Eukaryota; Metazoa; Chordata; Mammalia; Carnivora; Canidae. The record is from RNAcentral.